RNAcentral lists this ribosomal RNA (194 nucleotides) under uncultured Erwinia sp. Its description in RNAcentral is "partial 16S ribosomal RNA". It matches the Rfam family "Bacterial small subunit ribosomal RNA", at positions 339 to 525 of the family's 1533-position model. The record is from RNAcentral. Lineage: Bacteria; Pseudomonadati; Pseudomonadota; Gammaproteobacteria; Enterobacterales; Erwiniaceae.
CUACGGGAGGCAGCAGUGGGGAAUAUUGCACAAUGGGCGCAAGCCUGAUGCAGCCAUGCCGCGUGUAUGAAGAAGGCCUUCGGGUUGUAAAGUACUUUCAGCGGGGAGGAAGGCGAUGAGGUUAAUAACCUCGUCGAUUGACGUUACCCGCAGAAGAAGCACCGGCUAACUCCGUGCCAGCAGCCGCGGUAAUA